CCCUUAGAUGUUCUGGGCCGCACGCGCGCUGCACUGAUGCAUUCAACGAGUCUAAAACCUGCUCUGAUAGGGGUGGGUAAUCUUUUGAAUGUGCAUCGUGAUUGGGAUAGAUGAUUGCAAUUUUUCAUCUUCAACGAGGAAUGCCUAGUAAACGCAAGUCAUCAGCUUGCAUUGAUUACGUCCCUGCCCUUUGUACACACCGCCCGUCGCUCCUACCGAUUGAAUGAUCCGAUGAAUAUCAUGGAUUGAGGAUGCAAGCAGGUUCGCCUGUCUUCAUCUUCGAGAAGUGAAGUAAAUCUUAUCAUUUAGAGGAAGGAGAAGUCGUAACA
RNAcentral lists this ribosomal RNA (329 nucleotides) under uncultured eukaryote. Its description in RNAcentral is "partial 18S ribosomal RNA". It matches the Rfam family "Eukaryotic small subunit ribosomal RNA", at positions 1470 to 1796 of the family's 1831-position model. The record is from RNAcentral.